This is an RNA transcript of Papaver somniferum (opium poppy), 948 nucleotides long. RefSeq lists it as uncharacterized. Lineage: Eukaryota; Viridiplantae; Streptophyta; Magnoliopsida; Ranunculales; Papaveraceae. The record is from RefSeq and is a predicted model, not a curated record. The transcript is spliced from 7 exons.
UAUAAACGAAUUAACGAAAAAUGGAUACAAAAGGAUUAACUAUCUCUCUUUUCUCAAUUUAAAAUCGUUGUUGAUUUACUGGCACAAAGUAUUGAGAAAGAAAGCAGUGGGUGUUAUCAUAAUAAUUCUAUUAGCUUUUGCCAGCAAAUCACUAAGAGAAAUUCAACUCCAAGCAAGCUUCUGUCUCAAUUCCAAAUCCGAAGUAUCUCCCUAUGAAGUGGGAUCGACCGAUAUGCGAGAAAAAAAUUAAGCUAACAAUGGAGUCUUAUACUCAUGAUCGGUGUACAAUUAAGAUUUAUCAUUCAGUGGUCAGAAAGAUUCGAGUAACCGCCUCUCUAAACAGUUUCCAAGAAUAUAGAAUCUAUAGUGGAAUUGCUGAAAUAUUGGUGGGCAUUUAUGAGCAAGUCAAUUGGAAGCGAAAAUGGCUUUGAUAGUAGUAGCUUCUCAAGGUAUUCCGAUCAUCUGGACAGAAAGCACGCAAGAGAAAAUAGCACAACAAUGUAAGGAGAAAGAGGGAGGUCAAGGAGGACGACGAUCUGAGAACCAGAGUUGUAGCUUGACAAAAGUCCACGGAGCUACAAAAUGAUGACGACGUGUGCCCUAACCAGGUUUUUGUGCGGUAGAUGAGAGAACGAGGUGCGUUUACACUGCGAAACCAACGCAUCAUUUCGCCUUAAUAAAAUAUAUCCCCAAAGUAUUAUGUUUAUGAUUACAUACUCCUUAUGAUAAAGAUUAAUUCUACCGCCAACCAGGAGUGUAAUUAUUUUCCUUUUGAAACAUCCACUCACAUUAGUGGUUUAAAAUGUAUGUACCAAUCAAGAUGUGUCUUUUCCAGAUCCAUUGUUUUACAAAAGUCCAUGGAUCGAGCUAAAAAAUGAUGAUGACGUGUUCCCUAACCGGAUUAUGAGAGAAUAAUAUGCGGGUACAUUGUGAAACCAAUGCAUCGUU